Molecule: long non-coding RNA, 414 nt
Filed under: Larimichthys crocea (large yellow croaker)
Lineage: Eukaryota; Metazoa; Chordata; Actinopteri; Sciaenidae
Description: partial ncRNA
Source: RNAcentral
CGCAUUGCUGUCCCUGCUGCCAUGCCUGCCAGUAAUCCCAGUGCUACAUUCUCCAUCACUCCAUCAAAUGGGUCCCUCUGAACAACCACCUGGUGGGUUCCUUAGUGAAAAGACAGAGGGAGUUUAUUUUGAGCUUGUAGGCUAAUCCAUGUCUGCUAGCAUUUUUGACAGCAUUCUCUGUGCACUGUGCCUGAUGGAAAUUUGGCAGUCAGGUAAGAAAGGUUAGCAGGAUAAGUACACAAUGCACAGAAAGUGGGAGAAACCAAGGAUACGAUACGGUCCCAGAGUUCAUCUUUAGCUCCAGUACCCCAAAAUGUUGCGAGUCCAAGUCACCCCACUGCAUAAGUCAAUUCUAAAAUAUUUUUUAAAUAUUUGGAUUCAAAAUGUUUUUUAUUUUUAUUUUGCAGUUCAAUU